UACAGAGGUCUCAAGCGUUGUUCGGAUUCAUUGGGCGUAAAGGGUGCGUAGGCGGCGCGGUAAGUCGGGUGUGAAAUCUUGGAGCUUAACUCCGAAACUGCAUUCGAUACUGCCGUGCUUGAGGACUGGAGAGGAGACUGGAAUUUACGGUGUAGCGGUGAAAUGCGUAGAUAUCUGCAGGAACACCCGUGGCGAAAGCGGCGCGCUGGACCACUACUGACGCUGAGGAACGAAAGCUAGGGGAGCAAACAGG
This 253-nucleotide ribosomal RNA is filed under the name uncultured bacterium. RNAcentral's name for it is "partial 16S ribosomal RNA". It matches the Rfam family "Bacterial small subunit ribosomal RNA", at positions 524 to 776 of the family's 1533-position model. The record is from RNAcentral.